This 443-nucleotide ribosomal RNA is filed under the name uncultured bacterium. RNAcentral describes it as "partial 16S ribosomal RNA". It matches the Rfam family "Bacterial small subunit ribosomal RNA", at positions 338 to 795 of the family's 1533-position model. The record is from RNAcentral.
CCUACGGGAGGCAGCAGUGGGGAAUAUUGGUCAAUGGAGGCAACUCUGACCCAGCAACGUCGCGUGAAUGAUGAAGGUCUUCGGAGUUGAAAGUCCUGUUAUGGGGGAUGAACACAUUGACGGUACCGCAAUAGCAAGCCACGGCUAACGACGUGCCAGCAGCCGCGGUAAUACGUAGGGGGGAAGCGUUAUCCGGAAUGACUGGGGGUAAAGGGUGCGUAGGUGGUUUAGUAAGUUGGCGGUGUAAUUCCGGGGCUCAACCUCGGCGCUACCGCCAAAACUAUUAGACUAGAGUGCAGGAGAGGUAAGUGGAAUUCCUAGUGGAGCGGUGGAAUGCGUAGAUAUUAGGCGGAACAUCAGGGGCGAAGGCGACUUACUGGACUGUAACUGACACUGAGGCACGAAAGCGUGGGGAGCAAACAGGAUUAGAUACCCGGGUAGUC